Nothoprocta perdicaria is the source of this 273-nucleotide long non-coding RNA. RefSeq lists it as uncharacterized. The record is from RefSeq and is a predicted model, not a curated record. The transcript has 3 exons. Lineage: Eukaryota; Metazoa; Chordata; Aves; Tinamiformes; Tinamidae.
CCUGUGGAAAUGGAACAGAAGAAUAAAGCAAUGUUCAAGCAUUCAAAGAACAUCCUUAAAAAGCUGGAAUAGGAUGAUAACAUUGUCCUCUGCAGGAAUAAUUAAAAACAGGUAGAACUGAAAACCCAUUUUUCUCCACUGUUGCUACGAAACUUAUAAAGGCAUUCACUUUGACCGCUGUUGGAAAUGGGAUCCUGAGCCUGUUUGGACUCCGGCGCAACCCAGUAUGGUCUUUUUUCUAUCUUUAAGGAUGGUGGCUGGAUCCCACUGUUA